CUGUUGCUCACACCUGGUGGCCCCGGUGCUUAUGCUUGGGGUCACAAUGGGGUUGUGAGGAAGGAGGAGGAUGGAAGAAAAGGGGAACAUUGGACAGUGGAUCGUGAUGCAAAGGAAAGCUAAAGACUUCGCCAGGCUGAGAAGCAGUACCAGUUGACCUUUUCCCGCUUGCACAUCCUAAGCCUGAGUUUAAGAUUGUCUCUGCACUCAGGCAGCGUCCUUUGGCCCAUCUGAAAGUGGGCCAGUUCUGCUGGCUCCUCUCCUUUCUGGGAAGGUCACGCAAGUCCCUGAGCCAAGACGAACAGAAGGUACCAAUCCCAGGACUAUGGGGCAGACUCAGGAGGCAGCACAUGGGGAACAUUCUCAGACUUGGUAAGUAGCUGGCCCGCUGA
Long non-coding RNA from Cercocebus atys (sooty mangabey), 392 nucleotides. RefSeq lists it as uncharacterized. The transcript is spliced from 3 exons. NCBI's taxonomy places the organism in Eukaryota, Metazoa, Chordata, Mammalia, Primates, Cercopithecidae. The record is from RefSeq and is a predicted model, not a curated record.